RNAcentral lists this transfer RNA (85 nucleotides) under Nitrososphaerota archaeon. RNAcentral describes it as "Thaumarchaeota archaeon tRNA-Leu". It matches the Rfam family "tRNA". Rfam says of the family: Transfer RNA (tRNA) molecules are approximately 80 nucleotides in length. Their secondary structure includes four short double-helical elements and three loops (D, anti-codon, and T loops). Lineage: Archaea; Thermoproteati; Nitrososphaerota. The record is from RNAcentral.
GCGGGAGUCGCCCAGUCCGGUCAACGGUGCGAGGUUCAGGUCCUCGUCUCUUAGGAGUUCGUGGGUUCAAAUCCCACCUCCCGCA